Molecule: transfer RNA, 73 nt
Organism: Ovis aries (sheep)
Lineage: Eukaryota; Metazoa; Chordata; Mammalia; Artiodactyla; Bovidae
Rfam family: tRNA
About the family: Transfer RNA (tRNA) molecules are approximately 80 nucleotides in length. Their secondary structure includes four short double-helical elements and three loops (D, anti-codon, and T loops). Further hydrogen bonds mediate the characteristic L-shaped molecular structure. tRNAs have two regions of fundamental functional importance: the anti-codon, which is responsible for specific mRNA codon recognition, and the 3' end, to which the tRNAs corresponding amino acid is attached (by aminoacyl-tRNA synthetases). tRNAs cope with the degeneracy of the genetic code in two manners: having more than one tRNA (with a specific anti-codon) for a particular amino acid; and 'wobble' base-pairing, i.e. permitting non-standard base-pairing at the 3rd anti-codon position.
Source: Rfam
UCCCUGGUGGUCCAGUGGCUAAGACUCUGCUCUCCCAAUGCAAGGGGUCCAGGUUAGAUCCCUGGUCAGGGAA